GACGGAGAAGGUUAGGUGUACCAGGCGUUGGUUGUCCUGGGGAAAGGCGGUAGGUUUGGAUCUUUGGCAAAUCCGGGAUCCUUUAAGACCGAGCACCGAGACGAGCCUUUAAGGCGAAGUCACUGAUACCACGCUUCCAGGAAAAGCUCCUAAGCUUCAGCUUACGCAGACCGUACCGUAAACCGACACAGGUGGGCAG
This 199-nucleotide ribosomal RNA is filed under the name Chloropicon mariensis. RNAcentral's name for it is "partial Bacterial large subunit ribosomal RNA". It matches the Rfam family "Bacterial large subunit ribosomal RNA", at positions 1471 to 1670 of the family's 2925-position model. Lineage: Eukaryota; Viridiplantae; Chlorophyta; Chloropicophyceae; Chloropicales; Chloropicaceae. The record is from RNAcentral.